Molecule: long non-coding RNA, 269 nt
Organism: Lucilia sericata (common green bottle fly)
Lineage: Eukaryota; Metazoa; Arthropoda; Insecta; Diptera; Calliphoridae
Exons: 3
Source: RefSeq, a predicted model, not a curated record
CAACCAGCAAAACAUCAAAUAUAUUUCGGAAAUACCUUUGGAAAAGUAAACAGCAAAUAUGUUUAACCUAGUAAAUCCUUAAGAAAGGAGUUCUGUUACCAUCUACUUGUUCACAACUUCUCAACAGAGUGGAAAACAUCAGUCUGUUGGAAUGAAAAAAUCUAAAAAUAAUUAACAACAACAAAACGAGCAACACUUAUGUUAAUUAAAUCUUUUAAGCUAAAUGGGCAAAAUAAAGCCAUUGUUUUGAGUGGAAAUAGCUUUUAUUG